RNAcentral lists this ribosomal RNA (316 nucleotides) under Neoramia setosa. RNAcentral describes it as "partial 12S ribosomal RNA". Lineage: Eukaryota; Metazoa; Arthropoda; Arachnida; Araneae; Agelenidae. The record is from RNAcentral.
AGGUAAUUUAAUAAAAUAUAAACCAAUUUAUUUUGGUGGCAUUUAUCUUAUUAGAGGAACUUGUUAAUUAAUCGAUAAUCCACGAUAAAUUUAACUUUAAUUAAAAAUUUAUAUACCUCCAUCUAAAGAUUUAAUUUUAAAAUUCACUCUAAAUUAAAACCAAAAAGUUAGGUCAAGGUGUAAUCAAUAUUAUAGGUUUAAAAUGAGUUACCUAUAAAAUUAAUUUUAGAAUUAAAAAAAGAAAAUUUACUUAUAAAUAAGGAUUUAAAAGUAAUAUAAAAAUAAUAAUUAUAAAUGAUUCAGAAAACAAAUGUAU